This 253-nucleotide ribosomal RNA is filed under the name uncultured bacterium. Its description in RNAcentral is "partial 16S ribosomal RNA". It matches the Rfam family "Bacterial small subunit ribosomal RNA", at positions 524 to 776 of the family's 1533-position model. The record is from RNAcentral.
UCCGAAGGGGGCUAGCGUUGCUCGGAAUCACUGGGCGUAAAGGGUGCGUAGGCGGGUCUUUAAGUCAGGGGUGAAAUCCUGGAGCUCAACUCCAGAACUGCCUUUGAUACUGAAGAUCUUGAGUUCGGGAGAGGUGAGUGGAACUGCGAGUGUAGAGGUGAAAUUCGUAGAUAUUCGCAAGAACACCAGUGGCGAAGGCGGCUCACUGGCCCGAUACUGACGCUGAGGCACGAAAGCGUGGGGAGCAAACAGG